RNAcentral lists this ribosomal RNA (567 nucleotides) under uncultured archaeon. Its description in RNAcentral is "bacterial SSU rRNA". It matches the Rfam family "Archaeal small subunit ribosomal RNA", at positions 312 to 879 of the family's 1478-position model. The record is from RNAcentral.
CGCGAAUCGCCCUUCGGGGUGCAGCAGGCGCGAAAACUUUACAAUGCGGGAAACCGUGAUAAGGGGACACCGAGUGCCAGCGUCAUACGCUGGCUGUCCAGGUGUGUAAAAUACACCUGUUAGCAAGGGCCGGGCAAGACCGGUGCCAGCCGCCGCGGUAACACCGGCGGCCCGAGUGGUGAUCGUGAUUAUUGGGUCUAAAGGGUCCGUAGCCGGUUUGGUCAGUCCUCCGGGAAAUCUGAUAGCUCAACUAUUAGGCUUUCGGGGGAUACUGCCAGACUUGGAACCGGGAGAGGUAAGAGGUACUACAGGGGUAGGAGUGAAAUCUUGUAAUCCCUGUGGGACCACCUGUGGCGAAGGCGUCUUACCAGAACGGGUUCGACGGUGAGGGACGAAAGCUGGGGGCACGAACCGGAUUAGAUACCCGGGUAGUCCCAGCCGUAAACGAUGCUCGCUAGGUGUCAGGCAUGGCGCGACCGUGUCUGGUGCCGCAGGGAAGCCGUGAAGCGAGCCACCUGGGAAGUACGGCCGCAAGGCUGAAACUUAAAGGAAUUGGCGGGGGAGCAC